This 499-nucleotide ribosomal RNA is filed under the name uncultured microorganism. RNAcentral describes it as "bacterial SSU rRNA". It matches the Rfam family "Archaeal small subunit ribosomal RNA", at positions 234 to 734 of the family's 1478-position model. The record is from RNAcentral.
AGUGGGUGUAAUGUACCUACUAGCCGACGACGGAUACGGGUUGUGGGAGCAAGAGCCCGGAGAUGGAUUCUGAGACAUGAAUCCAGGCCCUACGGGGCGCAGCAGGCGCGAAAACUUUACAAUGCGGGAAACCGCGAUAAGGGGACACCGAGUGCCAGCAUCUUAUGUUGGCUGUCCGCAUGUAUAAAUCACAUGUGUUAGCAAGGGCCGGGCAAGACCGGUGCCAGCCGCCGCGGUAACACCGGCGGCCCGAGUGGUGGCCACUAUUAUUGGGUCUAAAGGGUCCGUAGCCGGUUUGGUCAGUCUUCCGGGAAAUCUGACGGCUUAACCGUUAGGCUUUCGGGGGAUACUACCAGGCUUGGGACCGGGAGAGGUAAGAGGUACUACGGGGUAGGAGUGAAAUCUUGUAAUCCUCGUGGGACCACCAGUGGCGAAGGCGUCUUACCAGAACGGGUCCGACGGUGAGGGACGAAAGCUGGGGGCACGAACCGGAUUAGAU